RNAcentral lists this ribosomal RNA (220 nucleotides) under uncultured bacterium. Its description in RNAcentral is "partial 16S ribosomal RNA". It matches the Rfam family "Bacterial small subunit ribosomal RNA", at positions 111 to 334 of the family's 1533-position model. The record is from RNAcentral.
UAAUGUAUGGGGAUCUGCCCGAUAGAGGGGAAUAACUACUGGAAACGGUGGCUAAUACCGCAUAAUGUCUACGGACCAAAGCAGGGACUCUUCGGACCUUGCACUAUCGGAUGAACCCAUAUGGGAUUAGCUAGUAGGUGGGGUAAAGGCUCACCUAGGCGACGAUCUCUAGCUGGUCUGAGAGGAUGAUCAGCCACACUGGGACUGAGACACGGCCCAG